Molecule: ribosomal RNA, 424 nt
Filed under: uncultured bacterium
Lineage: Bacteria
Description: bacterial SSU rRNA
Rfam family: Bacterial small subunit ribosomal RNA
Source: RNAcentral
UGGGGAAUUGUUCGCAAUGGGCGCAAGCCUGACGACGCAACGCCGCGUGGAGGAUGAAGGUCUUCGGAUUGUAAACUCCUGUUGCCCGGGACGAAUGACUCCAACCUAAUACGUUGGAGUGUGACGGUACCGGGUGAGGAAGCCCCGGCUAACUCUGUGCCAGCAGCCGCGGUAAUACAGAGGGGGCAAGCGUUGUUCGGAAUUACUGGGCGUAAAGGGCGCGUAGGCGGCCUGUUAAGUCGAACGUGAAAUCCCCGGGCUCAACCCGGGAACUGCGUCCGAUACUGGCAGGCUUGAAUCCGGGAGAGGGAUGCGGAAUUCCAGGUGUAGCGGUGAAAUGCGUAGAUAUGCGGAGGAACACCGAUGGCGAAGGCAAUCCCCUGGACCUGUACUGACGCUCAUGCACGAAAGCGUGGGGAGCAAA